Molecule: ribosomal RNA, 253 nt
Filed under: uncultured bacterium
Lineage: Bacteria
Description: partial 16S ribosomal RNA
Rfam family: Bacterial small subunit ribosomal RNA
Source: RNAcentral
UACGUAGGGUGCGAGCGUUUAAUCGGAAUUACUGGGCGUAAAGCGUGCGCAGGCGGUUCGUUGUGUCGGCGGUGAAAGCCCCGGGCUCAACCUGGGAAUGGCCGUUGAAACUGGCGAACUGGAGUGUGGCAGAGGGGGUGGAAUUCCGCGUGUAGCAGUGAAAUGCGUAGAGAUGCGGAGGAACACCGAUGGCGAAGGCAGCCCCCUGGGCUGACACUGACGCUCAGGCACGAAAGCGUGGGGAGCAAACAGG